GACGAACGCUGGCGGCGUGCUUAACACAUGCAAGUGGAGCGACGAACCCGGGCUUGCCCGGGGGCAGAGCCGCGAACGGGUGAGUAACACGUGGGUAACCUGCCCCGAUGACUGGGACAACCCGAGGAAACUCGGGCUAAUACCGGAUGAACUCUUCUCACAUGAGUGAGAUUUGAAAAGGAAGCUUCGGCCUCCGCAUUGGGAUGGGCCCGCGGCCCAUUAGCUUGUUGGUGGGGUAACGGCCUACCAAGGCUUCGAUGGGUAGCUGGUCUGAGAGGACGAUCAGCCACACUGGGACUGAGACACGGCCCAGACUCCUACGGGAGGCAGCAGUGGGGAAUCUUGCGCAAUGCGCGAAAGCGUGACGCAGCAACGCCGCGUGCGGGAAGACGGCCU
Molecule: ribosomal RNA, 396 nt
Filed under: uncultured bacterium
Lineage: Bacteria
Description: bacterial SSU rRNA
Rfam family: Bacterial small subunit ribosomal RNA
Source: RNAcentral